This 548-nucleotide long non-coding RNA is filed under the name Gallus gallus (chicken). Its description in RNAcentral is "lncRNA (ENSGALG00010001243.1)". Lineage: Eukaryota; Metazoa; Chordata; Aves; Galliformes; Phasianidae. The record is from RNAcentral.
UCUUUCCUGUACAAGGCUCUGGGGACAGUGCUGGGAGCUUGUAAGGAAGUCCUCCACAUCCAAGAGAAGCUUCUGCAACACCUGGAGGAAGCAAACGCGGAGGAGCCCUCUGAGGCCCAGGUGAGGUCUCCUCCCAGCCAGCUUCUGCCAGCAUCCCCGGUCUGUCCCUUGGGCAGAGCGCUUCUCCUGGCCCUGCUCCGAGCCUUUUGAUCUCCUCACUGCUGCUCUUUCCCUCAGGCGAGGACCAGCCCGGCCACUGUGGCUGGCCGCGCCGGUAGGUUCAGGCCUGCGCCAACUGCCCCUUGUUCUUUUGUGCAGGGCAUGAUCUCUCUUCUCAGCCAUGCUGCUGAGAGCAACUUCCACACAGCCCUGGACACGCUCACCAUGUUUGCGUCCAGGCUGUGCAGAGGCCAGAAUGGGAGGAGUUCCAGACGCAAGAAGGUGAAGCGUUACGCAUUUCCAUCUUGGCCUUCUGCUGCCUUAUUUUCACUUGGGAGCCCAGGUGCAUCGUGGGGCACCGGGGGGCUGCUGAGCGAGUGUCUCAAGGC